CGAAAGGCGUAGUCGAUGGGAAACAGGUUAAUAUUCCUGUACUUGGUGUUACUGCGAAGGGGGGACGGAGAAGGCUAUGUUGGCCGGGCGACGGUUGUCCCGGUUUAAGCGUGUAGGCUGGUUUUCCAGGCAAAUCCGGAAAAUCAAGGCUGAGGCGUGAUGACGAGGCACUACGGUGCUGAAGCAACAAAUGCCCUGCUUCCAGGAAAAGCCUCUAAGCAUCAGGUAACAUCAAAUCGUACCCCAAACCGACACAGGUGGUCAGGUAGAGAAUACCAAGGCGCUUGAGAGAACUCGGGUGAAGGAACUAGGCAAAAUGGUGCCGUAACUUCGGGAGAAGGCACGCUGAUAUGUAGGUGAAGUCCCUCGCGGAUGGAGCUGAAAUCAGUCGAAGAUACCAGCUGGCUGCAACUGUUUAUUAAAAACACAGCACUGUGCAAACACGAAAGUGGACGUAUACGGUGUGACGCCUGCCCGGUGC
Molecule: ribosomal RNA, 481 nt
Filed under: Escherichia coli
Lineage: Bacteria; Pseudomonadati; Pseudomonadota; Gammaproteobacteria; Enterobacterales; Enterobacteriaceae
Description: bacterial LSU rRNA
Rfam family: Bacterial large subunit ribosomal RNA
Source: RNAcentral